Long non-coding RNA from Bufo gargarizans (Asiatic toad), 247 nucleotides. RefSeq lists it as uncharacterized. The transcript has 3 exons. The record is from RefSeq and is a predicted model, not a curated record. Lineage: Eukaryota; Metazoa; Chordata; Amphibia; Anura; Bufonidae.
UUUACUUCCUCCUGCAGCACAGAGAAGGACAGGCUCCAUCCAGGUUCCUACAAUAUAGGAUCCGCUCAGUGGAUAUCUUCUAUAUAAGAUCGUUCUUCUGAUUGACCCGUCAAGGAUGGACAGGGACAAGAUGGCGGAGAGUAUAAUAAAUCUCACCCUAGAGAUCCUAUUCCGGCUUACUGGAGAGGACUACACAGUAGUGAAGAAGACCUCUAGUGAGCGCUGUCAGGCCCCUGUGUCUGAAGGA